Molecule: ribosomal RNA, 403 nt
Filed under: uncultured Caldilineaceae bacterium
Lineage: Bacteria; Bacillati; Chloroflexota; Caldilineae; Caldilineales; Caldilineaceae
Description: bacterial SSU rRNA
Rfam family: Bacterial small subunit ribosomal RNA
Source: RNAcentral
AGUGAGGAAUAUUCGGCAAUGGAGGCAACUCUGACCGAGCAACGCCGCGUGGAGGAUGACGGUUUUUGGAUUGUAAACUCCUUUUCUCAGGGAAGAGUGAGGACGGUACCUGAGGAAUAAGUCACGGCUAACUACGUGCCAGCAGCCGCGGUAAUACGUAGGUGGCAAGCGUUAUCCGGAAUUACUGGGCGUAAAGCGCACGCAGGUGGUUUUCUAAGAUUGACGUGAAAACUCUUGGCUUAACUGAGAGACGUCGUUGAUGACUGGAAGACUUGAGGCGAGGAGAGGGGUGUAGAAUUCCCGGUGUAGUGGUGGAAUGCGUAGAUAUCGGGGGGAAUACCAGUGGCGAAAGCGGCACCCUGGCCUUGGCCUGACGCUCAGGUGCGAAAGCGUGGGGAGCGAA